CUUAAAUUGAAGAGUUUGAUCAUGGCUCAGAUUGAACGCUGGCGGCAGGCCUAACACAUGCAAGUCGAGCGGUAACAGGAAGAAAGCUUGCUUUCUUUGCUGACGAGCGGCGGACGGGUGAGUAAUGCCUGGGAAUAUGCCUUAACGUGGGGGAUAACUAUUGGAAACGAUAGCUAAUACCGCAUGAUGCCUACGGGCCAAAGAGGGGGACCUUCGGGCCUCUCGCGUUAAGAUUAGCCCAGGUGGGAUUAGCUAGUUGGUGAGGUAAUGGCUCACCAAGGCGACGAUCCCUAGCUGGUCUGAGAGGAUGAUCAGCCACACUGGAACUGAGACACGGUCCAGACUCCUACGGGAGGCAGCAGUGGGGAAUAUUGCACAAUGGGCGCAAGCCUGAUGCAGCCAUGCCGCGUGUAUGAAGAAGGCCUUCGGGUUGUAAAGUACUUUCAGUCGUGAGGAAGGCAUUUGCGUUAAUAGCGUAGGUGUUUGACGUUAGCGACAGAAGAAGCACCGGCUAACUCCGUGCCAGCAGCCGCGGUAAUACGGAGGGUGCGAGCGUUAAUCGGAAUUACUGGGCGUAAAGCGCAUGCAGGUGGUUCGUUAAGUCAGAUGUGAAAGCCCGGGGCUCAACCUCGGAAUUGCAUUUGAAACUGGCGGACUAGAGUGCUGUAGAGGGGGGUAGAAUUUCAGGUGUAGCGGUGAAAUGCGUAGAGAUCUGAAGGAAUACCGGUGGCGAAGGCGGCCCCCUGGACAGACACUGACACUCAGAUGCGAAAGCGUGGGGAGCACACACGAUUAGCUACCCCCGUAGUCCACGCCG
This 817-nucleotide ribosomal RNA is filed under the name Vibrio renipiscarius. RNAcentral's name for it is "bacterial SSU rRNA". It matches the Rfam family "Bacterial small subunit ribosomal RNA", at positions 1 to 802 of the family's 1533-position model. The record is from RNAcentral. Lineage: Bacteria; Pseudomonadati; Pseudomonadota; Gammaproteobacteria; Vibrionales; Vibrionaceae.